AGAGACUGCAUCUGCAAUUAUUUCCGACAUUACAUCUAAUAAUACGACUACCACCCAUCAGCUUUCAGGGCUUCUAUCCCGGCCAGAUUUCAAGGCCUCCCCUUUCAAUAAUCUAGUUCCUCUUCCAUCAUACAAGGAACCCAGGGGUAUGGGCUGGAUGAUGAGAGGGGAACCGGUUCCCCUUGCUGCGUCGAAUCAACAUUGGCUGCAACUGAUGCAAUCGAAAGCAAAUUCCGCUGCCUUCUGACAGCCUUACGAAGGCGAGCGGAGUUUGGACACUUACUCGAAUUUCGGUGGUGGGG
Long non-coding RNA from Telopea speciosissima, 302 nucleotides. RefSeq lists it as uncharacterized. The transcript is spliced from 2 exons. The record is from RefSeq and is a predicted model, not a curated record. Lineage: Eukaryota; Viridiplantae; Streptophyta; Magnoliopsida; Proteales; Proteaceae.